AAGGCCUGGGUGUGACCCUGCAGCACCAGCGGGGUCCCCUCCCUGUGCCCCGUCAUCAUCAUCAUCAUCAUCAUCAUCAUCAUCCUCGGCCCUCUGUGGGGAGGUGUCACUGCUCAGCCUGGGCACUGCUGUGGUGUAUCCCAAAAAAUCCCCCAAAAAUCCAAAAAAAUCCCCCAAAAUCCCAAAAAUCUGCAAUGGAGUGGAGACACACGUGGGACAGGUGUGGGGUCAGCAGGGCAGCUUCAUCCUUCCAAAUCCCCCUGUCCUUUACCCCAAAAAUCCCCAAAAUCUGCAAUGGAAUGGAGAGACAGUGUGGGACAGGUGUGGGUUGGGCAGGGCAGCUUCAUCCCCAUAAAUCCCCCUGUGAUUUAUCCCAAAAAUCCCAGGGCAGCUUCAUCCUCCUAAAUCCCCCUGUGGUUUAUCCCAAAAAUCCCAGGGCAGCUUCAUCUUCAUCCUCUUAAAUCACCCUGUGGUUUAUCCCAAAAAACUCCAACUGAAUGAAAACAC
RNAcentral lists this long non-coding RNA (507 nucleotides) under Zonotrichia albicollis (white-throated sparrow). Its description in RNAcentral is "lncRNA (ENSZALG00000001727.1)". Lineage: Eukaryota; Metazoa; Chordata; Aves; Passeriformes; Passerellidae. The record is from RNAcentral.